UACGGGGGGGGCAAGCGUUGUUCGGAAUUACUGGGCGUAAAGGGCGCGUAGGCGGCCUACUAAGUCGGACGUGAAAUCCCUCGGCUCAACCGGGGAACUGCUUCCGAUACUGGUGGGCUUGAAUCCGGGAGAGGGAUGUGGAAUUCCAGGUGUAGCGGUGAAAUGCGUAGAUAUCUGGAGGAACACCGGUGGCGAAGGCGGCAUCCUGGACCGGUAUUGACGCUGAGGCGCGAAAGCCAGGGGAGCAAACGGG
RNAcentral lists this ribosomal RNA (253 nucleotides) under uncultured bacterium. RNAcentral describes it as "partial 16S ribosomal RNA". It matches the Rfam family "Bacterial small subunit ribosomal RNA", at positions 524 to 776 of the family's 1533-position model. The record is from RNAcentral.